CCUACGGGAUGCAGCAGUGAGGAAUAUUGGUCAAUGGGCGGGAGCCUGAACCAGCGAAGUCGCGUGAGGGAAGACGGUCCUAUGGAUUGUAAACCUCUUUAGGCGGGGAGCAAUGCCGGGCACGUGUGCCCGGAGGGAGAGUACCCGCAGAAUAAGCAUCGGCUAACUCCGUGCCAGCAGCCGCGGUAAUACGGAGGAUGCGAGCGUUAUCCGGAUUGAUUGGGUUUAAAGGGUGCGUAGGCGGAUUUUUAAGUCAGCGGUAAAAUGUCCGGGCUCAACCCGGGCCGGCCGUUGAAACUGGGGAUCUUGAGUGGGCGAGAAGUAUGCGGAAUGCGUGGUGUAGCGGUGAAAUGCAUAGAUAUCACGCAGAACUCCGAUUGCGAAGGCAGCAUACCGGCGCCCGACUGACGCUGAGGCACGAAAGCGUGGGGAUCGAACAGGAUUAGAUACCCCAGUAGUC
This 460-nucleotide ribosomal RNA is filed under the name uncultured bacterium. Its description in RNAcentral is "partial 16S ribosomal RNA". It matches the Rfam family "Bacterial small subunit ribosomal RNA", at positions 338 to 795 of the family's 1533-position model. The record is from RNAcentral.